GUGCUCACUUCAGGAGUACGUAAUAAACAGGAAUGAGGGAAAAUUAGCAUAGUUCUUGCACAUGAGUGACACGCAGAUUCAUGAAACAAUCCAAAUUCUG
Molecule: small nuclear RNA, 100 nt
Filed under: Nannospalax galili (Upper Galilee mountains blind mole rat)
Lineage: Eukaryota; Metazoa; Chordata; Mammalia; Rodentia; Spalacidae
Source: RNAcentral